UUUUUUGUUGCUACUGUUUUUGGGGGUGGGGGGCAGAAUCUUACUAUUAUAGCUUAGACUGACCUUGAAUUCAUGAUCCCUUUUCCCCAUUUCCAGAAUGUGUUUUUUUCUUUGUUUGUUUGUAUUUUUUGAGACAGGACCUUGCCCCAAACUCAGACCAAUAGUCCUACCUCAGCCUCCCGAGUGCUGGAAUUAUAAGCAUGUACCUGGCCAGAAUGUGUGGUUUUUUUUUUUUAAAUGAAUUUAUAUUACUCUUAUUAAUACAGCACUUUAUUCAUUAUAUUCCUUUUAUAGGCAGCCAAAUGGCUAAGGAGACCACUGAUGAGAUGAAAUAUAUGUUGGGUCAACUUGUUUGCCUGAAUUCUCCUAACUCCAUCCUGAAAGCUGCGAAAACCUUGUAUGAACGUUAUAAUUGUGGUGAAAGUCAAGCUCCUUCAUCAUCCAAGACUUCUG
RNAcentral lists this long non-coding RNA (453 nucleotides) under Rattus norvegicus (Norway rat). RNAcentral's name for it is "long non-coding RNA NONRATT027921". The record is from RNAcentral. Lineage: Eukaryota; Metazoa; Chordata; Mammalia; Rodentia; Muridae.